Molecule: long non-coding RNA, 546 nt
Filed under: Homo sapiens (human)
Lineage: Eukaryota; Metazoa; Chordata; Mammalia; Primates; Hominidae
Description: non-protein coding lnc-IRF2BP1-1:1
Source: RNAcentral
ACGGAAGAUGGCGGCGGCGGCGGCGGCGGAGUGUAGGAAGAGGCACUGCUGAGGGGGCGCGAGGGGAACGGAGGCCAGAGCUGCGCUGACAGCAGCCAUGGCGAGCGGCAGUGGAGACAGCGUCACCCGUCGGAGCGUGGCAUCACAGUUUUUCACUCAAGAGGAGGGGCCGGGCAUCGAUGGCAUGACCACCUCAGAGAGGGUGAGCGUGGCGGGUAGGGCUUGGAGUGAGGAAGCAUAGCCCCUGGCUUUGGCAAUCCCUGUUUAGGUGGCAGAGCCCUGGGAGUGCCGAGGGGGCUGCACUGGGCUGGACUGGGCUGGCACUAUCCCCUGCCACUCCCCCUCCUUCCAGGUGGUGGAUCUUCUGAACCAGGCGGCGCUGAUCACCAAUGACUCAAAGAUCACAGUGCUCAAACAGGUCCAGGAGCUGAUCAUCAACAAAGACCCCACACUACUGGACAACUUCCUGGAUGAGAUCAUCGCAUUCCAAGCAGACAAGUCAAUCGAAGUGCGAAAAUUUGUCAUCGGCUUCAUCGAGGAGGCAUG